Megalops atlanticus (tarpon) is the source of this 78-nucleotide non-coding RNA. Lineage: Eukaryota; Metazoa; Chordata; Actinopteri; Elopiformes; Megalopidae. The record is from the annotation of a GenBank genome assembly.
GGUAGUGUAGCAUACUGGUUAGGCACUGGGCUCAUAACCGAAAGGUUGCUGGUUCGAUUCCCCACUGGGGCACUGCCA